RNAcentral lists this ribosomal RNA (254 nucleotides) under uncultured bacterium. RNAcentral's name for it is "partial 16S ribosomal RNA". It matches the Rfam family "Bacterial small subunit ribosomal RNA", at positions 524 to 776 of the family's 1533-position model. The record is from RNAcentral.
UACGUAGGGGGCGAGCGUUGUCCUGAUUUAUUGGGCGUAAAGAGCUCGUAGGUGGUUCGCUAAGUCGGAUGUGAAAUCUCCAAGCUCAACUUGGAGCGGUCAUUCGAUACUGGCGUGACUUGAGUACGGUAGGGGACCACGGAAUUCCUGGUGUAGCGGUGAAAUGCACAGAUAUCAGGAGGAACACCGGUGGCGAAGGCGGUGGUCUGGGCCGUAACUGACGCUGAGGCGCGAAAGCCAGGGGAGCAAACGGG